This is a non-coding RNA of Helianthus annuus (common sunflower), 154 nucleotides long. The record is from Rfam. NCBI's taxonomy places the organism in Eukaryota, Viridiplantae, Streptophyta, Magnoliopsida, Asterales, Asteraceae.
CACUGCCUCGCUAACGAUUGAAUAGUCCGAUGAAGUGUUAAGAUCAUGGAGAUGUGGGCGGUUCGCUCCUAGGACGUCAUUAGAAUUCCACUAAACAUUAUCAUUUAGAGGAAGAAGAAUCGUAACAAGGUUUCCAUAGGUGAACCUACGGAAA